AUUACAUUGAAAAGAAGGAGUACCAUGGUGCUGAUCACAUGUUCUACAACUAAAGCUAGGAUACCCAUCCAUCUUUCUAAUGAUGCAGGUCCCUUUCAAUGCCCCCGGAAAAGAUGGCAUCACAAUAAAAGCUCUCCCAUUAUUUCUCAUGCAAUGAUAGCUACCAAAACCCUGGUGACUACCAUUCUGAACCUCAGCUUCGUCCAGUCAUCAAACCAUAAAUUCUCUAAUUGAUAAGCUAAUAAAGCAUUACAGCUACUUACCUAAUAAAGUUGGCA
Molecule: long non-coding RNA, 278 nt
Filed under: Elaeis guineensis (African oil palm)
Lineage: Eukaryota; Viridiplantae; Streptophyta; Magnoliopsida; Arecales; Arecaceae
Description: long non-coding RNA (EGUI_LNC005252)
Source: RNAcentral